This 402-nucleotide ribosomal RNA is filed under the name Bacteroidota bacterium. RNAcentral describes it as "Bacteroidetes bacterium partial 16S ribosomal RNA". It matches the Rfam family "Bacterial small subunit ribosomal RNA", at positions 355 to 776 of the family's 1533-position model. Lineage: Bacteria; Pseudomonadati; Bacteroidota. The record is from RNAcentral.
UGGGGAAUUUUGCACAAUGGGGGAAACCCUGAUGCAGCGACGCCGCGUGAUUUAGAAGGCCUUCGGGUUGCAAAAAUCUUUUCUAUGGGAAGAAAAUGACAGUACCAUAGGAAUAAGGACCGGCUAAUUACGUGCCAGCAGCCGCGGUAAUACGUAAGGUCCGAGCGUUGUCCGGAAUCAUUGGGCGUAAAGGGUACGUAGGCGGGUAAGCAAGUUAGAAGUGAAAUCCUGUAGCUCAACUACAGUAAGCUUUUAAAACUGCUCAUCUUGAGAUAUGGAAGGGAAAGUGGAAUUCCUAGUGUAGCGGUGAAAUGCUCAGAUAUUAGGAGGAAUACCGGUGGCGAAGCCGACUUUCUGGCCAUACUCUGACGCUGAGGUACGAAAGCGUGGGUAGCAAACAGG